RNAcentral lists this ribosomal RNA (502 nucleotides) under uncultured Desulfobulbus sp. Its description in RNAcentral is "bacterial SSU rRNA". It matches the Rfam family "Bacterial small subunit ribosomal RNA", at positions 887 to 1382 of the family's 1533-position model. The record is from RNAcentral. Lineage: Bacteria; Pseudomonadati; Thermodesulfobacteriota; Desulfobulbia; Desulfobulbales; Desulfobulbaceae.
GCCCGCUCAGAAACUCAAAGGAAGUUCGACGGGGCCCGCACAAGCGGUGGAGUAUGUGGUUUAAUUCGAUGCAACGCGAAGAACCUUACCUGGUCUUGACAUCCCGGAGACCCUUAGGAAACUAGGGGGUGCUUCCAUCUGGAAGAAUCUGGAGACAGGUGCUGCAUGGCUGUCGUCAGCUCGUGUCGUGAGAUGUUGGGUUAAGUCCCGCAACGAGCGCAACCCUUGCCUUUAGUUGCCAGCAGUUCGGCUGGGCACUCUAAAGGGACUGCCGGUGUUAAACCGGAGGAAGGUGGGGAUGACGUCAAGUCCUCAUGGCCUUUAUGACCAGGGCUACACACGUACUACAAUGGCCGAUACAAAGGGCAGCGACACUGCGAGGUGAAGCCAAUCCCGUAAAAUCGGUCUCAGUCCGGAUUGGAGUCUGCAACUCGACUCCAUGAAGUUGGAAUCGCUAGUAAUCGUGGAUCAGCAUGCCACGGUGAAUACGUUCCCGGGCCUU